This 343-nucleotide transfer-messenger RNA is filed under the name Mesorhizobium sp. It matches the Rfam family "Alphaproteobacteria transfer-messenger RNA". Rfam says of the family: Bacterial tmRNA, also known as 10Sa RNA or SsrA, is named for its dual tRNA and mRNA-like properties. The record is from RNAcentral. Lineage: Bacteria; Pseudomonadati; Pseudomonadota; Alphaproteobacteria; Hyphomicrobiales; Phyllobacteriaceae.
GGCCUUUCAUUUUUCACGAUCGGUCCCUAUAUCUGUUUCGUCGGCUCGACCGACUAUGGCGAUAAACAGGCGAUGAAAUAAGCCGUUCGGACCCGGGGGCGGUACCCGGCGCCUCCACCAAAAACCGCUCUGCGAAGAGCGGCUUUUGCUGGGGGCGAAAUAGGAUCGACGAAGNNNNNNNNNNGCAUUGUACCACCGUUAUCGGGCUGAACUUAUAGUUGCCAACGACAACUAUGCGGAAGCACGUCUCGCCGCGUAAGCGGUGCGAUAGCUUCAAAUCAAGCCCUAGUGGUUCGCACUUCUAGGCGGGGUCCGGAGGUACCUGGCAACAGAAACCUCCACU